CAGGACGAACGCUGGCGGCGUGCUUAACACAUGCAAGUCGAACGAGGAUAUGUCAGAGGAGAGCUUCGGCAGGAAUCAGGCAUAUUCGAGUGGCGGACGGGUGAGUAACGCGUGAGCAACCUGUCCCAGACAGGGGGAUAACACUUGGAAACAGGUGCUAAUACCGCAUAAGACCACGGUAUCACAUGGUAGUGGGGUAAAAAGGAGCAAUCCGGUUUGGGGUGGGCUCGCGUCCGAUUAGAUAGUUGGUGAGGUAACGGCCCACCAAGUCGACGAUCGGUAGCCGACCUGAGAGGGUGAUCGGCCACAUUGGAACUGAGAGACGGUCCAAACUCCUACGGGAGACAGCAGUUAGGAAUAUUCGUCAAUGGGGGCAACCCUGAACGAGCAAUGCCGCGUGAGUGAAUGAAGGUCCUUUGGAUUGUAAAACUCUGUUGUUUAGGAAAAAUUAUAUAAAUAGGAAAUGAUUUAUAUUUGAUGGUACUAUUCAAGAAAGCCACGGCUAACUACGUGCCAGCAGCCGC
Molecule: ribosomal RNA, 524 nt
Filed under: uncultured bacterium
Lineage: Bacteria
Description: bacterial SSU rRNA
Rfam family: Bacterial small subunit ribosomal RNA
Source: RNAcentral